AUUGAACGCUGGCGGCAGGCUUAACACAUGCAAGUCGAGCGGAGUGAUGGUGCUUGCACUAUCACUUAGCGGCGGACGGGUGAGUAAUGCUUAGGAAUCUGCCUAUUAGUGGGGGACAACAUCUCGAAAGGGAUGCUAAUACCGCAUACGUCCUACGGGAGAAAGCAGGGGAUCACUUGUGACCUUGCGCUAAUAGAUGAGCCUAAGUCGGAUUAGCUAGUUGGUGGGGUAAAGGCCUACCAAGGCGACGAUCUGUAGCGGGUCUGAGAGGAUGAUCCGCCACACUGGGACUGAGACACGGCCCAGACUCCUACGGGAGGCAGCAGUGGGGAAUAUUGGACAAUGGGGGGAACCCUGAUCCAGCCAUGCCGCGUGUGUGAAGAAGGCCUUAUGGUUGUAAAGCACUUUAAGCGAGGAGGAGGCUCUUUUGGUUAAUACCCAAGAUGAGUGGACGUUACUCGCAGAAUAAGCACCGGCUAACUCUGUGCCAGCCGCCGCCGUAA
RNAcentral lists this ribosomal RNA (503 nucleotides) under uncultured bacterium. RNAcentral's name for it is "partial 16S ribosomal RNA". It matches the Rfam family "Bacterial small subunit ribosomal RNA", at positions 30 to 523 of the family's 1533-position model. The record is from RNAcentral.